UGAGUAACCUGCCCUUCACUCUGGGAUAACUCCGGGGAAACCGGGGCUAAUACUGGAUAUGACUCGAACAGGCAUCUGUUUCGGGUGGAAAGAUUUAUUGGUGGAGGGAUGGACUCGCGGCCUAUCAGCUAGUUGGUGUGGGUAAUGGCCCACCAAGGCGACGACGGGUAGCCGGCCUGAGGAGGGGUGACCCGGGCCACACUGGGGACUGAGACACGGCCCAGACCUCCUACGGGGAGGGCA
RNAcentral lists this ribosomal RNA (243 nucleotides) under uncultured bacterium. RNAcentral's name for it is "partial 16S ribosomal RNA". It matches the Rfam family "Bacterial small subunit ribosomal RNA", at positions 118 to 350 of the family's 1533-position model. The record is from RNAcentral.